This 411-nucleotide unclassified non-coding RNA is filed under the name Hevea brasiliensis (rubber tree). Lineage: Eukaryota; Viridiplantae; Streptophyta; Magnoliopsida; Malpighiales; Euphorbiaceae. The record is from RNAcentral.
AUUAAGAGUCACAAAUGCUGUUAUUCCUCUGAGUAAGAGAGAAUCAAUGAGUUCGUUGUAGAACGUAACACCAGCAAAAUUAACUUUACCAAACGAUCCUCUAGGAAGGACUCUGCUCCACGAGAUAGAGAAACGAUACGAAUUCAAGCCAAUCGAGUGCAUUAACUCAACAUCUUCCUGAAAUCGAUGGUAAUGAUCAUCCGCUACAUCUCCAGUAUCUCCAUUAUUUAUCGUUCCUUUAGUAUGACUAAAAACAUCCCAAUUACUCAACCCUUUUCCAUCUUCAAGAAUUGCCCCUUCAAUUUGAUAAGCUGAAGUAGUAAUUCCAAAUAAAAACCCAUCUGGAAAUUCUGAUUUCUUCAAAUUUUUCUGUUCCUCAAAUGAAUUUAUACAAACAAAUAAUAGUAAAGA